GAGGGUGUAGCUCAAGUGGCAGAGCACAUGCUUGGCAUGCACGGGGUUCUGGGUUCCAUCCCUGGCAUCUCCU
This 73-nucleotide transfer RNA is filed under the name Camelus bactrianus (Bactrian camel). It matches the Rfam family "tRNA". From Rfam's summary of the family: Transfer RNA (tRNA) molecules are approximately 80 nucleotides in length. Their secondary structure includes four short double-helical elements and three loops (D, anti-codon, and T loops). Further hydrogen bonds mediate the characteristic L-shaped molecular structure. tRNAs have two regions of fundamental functional importance: the anti-codon, which is responsible for specific mRNA codon recognition, and the 3' end, to which the tRNAs corresponding amino acid is attached (by aminoacyl-tRNA synthetases). tRNAs cope with the degeneracy of the genetic code in two manners: having more than one tRNA (with a specific anti-codon) for a particular amino acid; and 'wobble' base-pairing, i.e. permitting non-standard base-pairing at the 3rd anti-codon position. Lineage: Eukaryota; Metazoa; Chordata; Mammalia; Artiodactyla; Camelidae. RNAcentral also lists the same sequence under 1 other name. The record is from Rfam by way of RNAcentral.